Daphnia pulicaria is the source of this 656-nucleotide long non-coding RNA. RefSeq lists it as uncharacterized. Lineage: Eukaryota; Metazoa; Arthropoda; Branchiopoda; Diplostraca; Daphniidae. The record is from RefSeq and is a predicted model, not a curated record. The transcript is spliced from 5 exons.
AAACGUCAGAAAUUUCGUUCGUUCACCUUGAUCGUUCGUGGCAAUAGAUUUAACCUUGGUUAUAGACAAGUUGGUCAUGGGAUUUUAUUUCUACAUGUGCUAGGAAGUGAAAGAAACUGAAUCAGUAAAUGCGAAAAUGCCGUUUCUCAAUAAGUUUUCUCUUGUUUCUCGGUUGCCCACCUGGGCUGUUCCUGUACGUUGGUCACUUCACGCGUGAAGAUUUGGAUUUUUCUUCAUUUAAACAGGAGGAAACGUAAAAAAGUCGUGCAGCUUAACUGUCAACUAUUUUGUUCAAAAUCAUUGUAUUUUACUGAAUGUGCCAUCAAAAUGAUACAGGAUUCAACAUAAUUAUCUGCUGUGUGUAUUGGACUUGGUAGAUCACCAACCCCAGCAUGGAACAAUCUCUCAUUCCAUCAUCUAGAGAACCUUAUCAUCUGGAUAACUGAUUAGUGUUUUCAUGUAUUCUAAACUGCUGGUUUAUGAAUUUACGUGGCAGACUUUAUGAAAAGUCCUGUCAUUUCAAGAAAGUCAACAAGGUCCGUUGUUUGCUGACCCGUUGGCUCCUACCCUCGAAUUCUCCUUAUUGAUUUCUUUACACAGGCUCUCCUGAUUUGAGGGUAAUCCUUCGCUACUUGUCAUGGACUUCAUCCACUGGU